Molecule: ribosomal RNA, 119 nt
Filed under: Octopus vulgaris (common octopus)
Lineage: Eukaryota; Metazoa; Mollusca; Cephalopoda; Octopoda; Octopodidae
Also listed under: 1 other name
Source: RNAcentral
GUUUACGGCCAUAUCACGUUGUAAACACCGGUUCUCGUCUGAUCACCGAAGUUAAGCAACGUCGAGCCUAGUUAGUACUUAGAUGGGUGAUCGCUUGGGAAACCUAGGUGCUGUAAGUA